GGCUGGUCCGAGUGCAGUGGUGUUUACAGGUAAUUGAUCGCAACCUGUUAUAGAUUUGUUUUUUCUCCACUCCCAUUGUUUCAUUUGACUAGCCUUAA
Y RNA from Callithrix jacchus (white-tufted-ear marmoset), 98 nucleotides. It matches the Rfam family "Y RNA". Rfam says of the family: Y RNAs are components of the Ro ribonucleoprotein particle (Ro RNP), in association with Ro60 and La proteins. The Y RNAs and Ro60 and La proteins are well conserved, but the function of the Ro RNP is not known. In humans the RNA component can be one of four small RNAs -- hY1, hY3, hY4 and hY5. The record is from Ensembl. Lineage: Eukaryota; Metazoa; Chordata; Mammalia; Primates; Cebidae.